RNAcentral lists this ribosomal RNA (492 nucleotides) under uncultured bacterium. RNAcentral's name for it is "partial 16S ribosomal RNA". It matches the Rfam family "Bacterial small subunit ribosomal RNA", at positions 29 to 507 of the family's 1533-position model. The record is from RNAcentral.
AGUGAACGCUGGCGGUAGGCCUAACACAUGCAAGUCGAACGGCAGCACAGUAAGAGCUUGCUCUUACGGGUGGCGAGUGGCGGACGGGUGAGGAAUACAUCGGAAUCUACUUUUUCGUGGGGGAUCACGUAGGGAAACUUACGCUAAUACCGCAUACGACCUACGGGUGAAAGCAGGGGAUCUUCGGACCUUGCGCGAUUGAAUGAGCCGAUGUCGGAUUAGCUAGUUGGCGGGGUAAAGGCCCACCAAGGCGACGAUCCGUAGCUGGUCUGAGAGGAUGAUCAGCGACACUGGAGGGGGAACACGGACCAGACUACUAAGAGAGGGAGCAGUGGGGAAUAUUGGACAGUGGGCGCAAGCCUGAUCCAGCCAGACCGCGUGGGUGAAGAAGGCCUUCGGGUUGUAAAGCCCUUUUGUGGGGAAAGAAAAGCAGCAGGUUAAGACCCAGCUGUUCUGACGGUACCCAAAGAAUAAGCACCGGCUAACUUCGUG